UAGUUCAAUGGUGAGCAGUGGAGCCGAGGU
RNAcentral lists this non-coding RNA (30 nucleotides) under Homo sapiens (human). The record is from RNAcentral. Lineage: Eukaryota; Metazoa; Chordata; Mammalia; Primates; Hominidae.